RNAcentral lists this ribosomal RNA (492 nucleotides) under uncultured bacterium. RNAcentral describes it as "partial 16S ribosomal RNA". It matches the Rfam family "Bacterial small subunit ribosomal RNA", at positions 30 to 507 of the family's 1533-position model. The record is from RNAcentral.
AUUGAACGCUGGCGGCAUGCUUUACACAUGCAAGUCGAACGGUAACAGGCCUUCGGGUGCUGACGAGUGGCGAACGGGUGAGUAAUGCAUCGGAACGUGCCCAGAGGUGGGGGAUAACGCAGCGAAAGCUGUGCUAAUACCGCAUGUGAUCUGAGGAUGAAAGCGGGGGACCAAGCAGCAAUGUUUGGCCUCGCGCCUCUGGAGCGGCCGAUGUCAGAUUAGGUAGUUGGUGGGGUAAAGGCCUACCAAGCCGACGAUCUGUAGCUGGUCUGAGAGGACGACCAGCCACACUGGGACUGAGACACGGCCCAGACUCCUACGGGAGGCAGCAGUGGGGAAUUUUGGACAAUGGGCGCAAGCCUGAUCCAGCAAUGCCGCGUGCGGGAAGAAGGCCUUCGGGUUGUAAACCGCUUUUGUACGGAACGAAAAGGCUCUGGCUAAUACCUGGGGCUGAUGACGGUACUGUAAGAAUAAGCACCGGCUAACUACGUG